RNAcentral lists this ribosomal RNA (250 nucleotides) under uncultured bacterium. RNAcentral describes it as "partial 16S ribosomal RNA". It matches the Rfam family "Bacterial small subunit ribosomal RNA", at positions 524 to 773 of the family's 1533-position model. The record is from RNAcentral.
UACGUAGGGUGCGAGCGUUAAUCGGAAUUACUGGGCGUAAAGUGUGCGCAGGCGGCGGAGCAAGUCGAGUGUGAAAGCCCCGGGCUUAACUUGGGAACUGCGCUCGAAACUACUUUGCUGGAGUGUGGCAGAGGAAGGUGGAAUUCCAGGUGUAGCGGUGAAAUGCGUAGAGAUCUGGAGGAACACCGAUGGCGAAGGCAGCCUUCUGGGCCAACACUGACGCUCAUGCACGAAAGCGUGGGGAGCAAAC